RNAcentral lists this microRNA precursor (103 nucleotides) under Marmota monax (woodchuck). The record is from RNAcentral. Lineage: Eukaryota; Metazoa; Chordata; Mammalia; Rodentia; Sciuridae.
ACACAAAUCACCUGGGGAUGUUGAUUAAAUUGCAGAUUCUGAUUCCUCUGGAAGAGGAGUCUAAGAUUCUGCAUUUCUAAUGAGUUCCAGGAGACAUGCUGAU